This is a non-coding RNA of Calypte anna (Anna's hummingbird), 420 nucleotides long. NCBI's taxonomy places the organism in Eukaryota, Metazoa, Chordata, Aves, Apodiformes, Trochilidae. The record is from the annotation of a RefSeq genome assembly.
AACCUCGGCAUCCCCAAGAUGGCCGCCACCUCCUCCUUCUCCUUCCUCCUCCUCCUCAUCAUGGCCGCCGUGCCAGGCAAGAUGGCGGCCGUGGAGCUGGCGGAGUCCGGCGGCGGCCUCAACGCCCCCGGGGGGUCCUUGAGUCUCCUCUGCAAGGCCUCGGGCGAGGCCGCCGCCAUCUUGUGGGUGCGUCAGCGCCCCGGCAAAGGCUUGGAGUGGGUGGGGGGCUUCGGCAAGAUGGCCGCCACCGCCCCGGCGCUGAGGCCCCGCGUCGCCAUCUUCAGAGAGGGGUCCCGGGGCGCCGCCAGGAUGCGAUUGGACGACCUGAGGGCUGAGGACACCGCCACCUACUACUGCGCCAAAGAUGGUGGACACGGCGGGGAAGGCCCCGCGGGGAGGCCGGGCAAAAAGGGAAAAUAA